RNAcentral lists this long non-coding RNA (1545 nucleotides) under Ananas comosus (pineapple). Its description in RNAcentral is "long non-coding RNA (ACOM_LNC005456)". The record is from RNAcentral. Lineage: Eukaryota; Viridiplantae; Streptophyta; Magnoliopsida; Poales; Bromeliaceae.
UAUAUAUAUACUACUUAUAAAAGCGUGAGUUUUGAAUUUUUUUCUCUUUCCAAAAAUGGCUCUAUCCUUUUUUACUAAUAUCUUUAUGUCCAGUAAUUUUCAACCAAUCAUUUCAAAUAAUUCACUAAGUAAUAAUUUAUUCUCAAAUAAAGAUAUUAAUUUUGCCAUUAGAUUUUAUCUAACAAUUGAAAAUAAAAGUAUCUGUCACUUUUUGUAACAAUAAUACCCUCACAUUUAUGUCAUAUCUUCUAUCUACGCGUUUCUCAAACAUUUUCUUCUCACACGUAAUACCCGUACCUGUCAAUCCUUUCUCAACAUAAUAUUCGUGAAUUCUUAAAUAUCUCAUUAAUCCACCUAUCAUACAGGUCCACCACCUACAUAAUAUCCAAUUAACCUUCUCGCACGAAAUAUCCACGCGUUUCUCAAAUAUUUCAUCAAAAUUCUAAUAUUUUUUCAUUGUUUCUCAAAAAUUCUCUCAACCUAUCAUAAUUUUGAAUUAAAUAUAUUCUUACAUUUGGAUUCAAAUAUUAAAAUGGAUCAAAAUUAAAUUUUAAUAUUUAAUACUUUCUCAUUUUCAUCUAUACAUUUCUUAAAUAUAAAGCAUAUCUUUUUUCAUUUUUACUAUACGUUUUCUCAAAUAUAUUAUUUUUAUUUUCUCAAAUAUAUUAUUUUAGUAUUAUUUUAUUUGUUUCUCAUAGUCGUCCUCCUGAUCACCUUAAUUCGCCACAGUUGAAAAAGUAUUUUAGCUCCACCUAAUUCAUUUUAACAUGUCAUAAUAUAAUUUUCUAUUUAAUUCGUCUUUUGUAUACUUUGUUUUACUUUUUAAGAUAUUUAAAUGCUAAUAAGUUUGCAUCUUCAUGAUCUUUUAUCUCUCAUAUUAAUUGCGUAAGUCACCGUCCUUCCGACACAUCGUUGUCCUCCUCACCGACAGCAACACGUCAUCACCUUCGCCAAUCAUCGUCGCCUUCGCUAGCAUAUCGUCAUCGUCACCUUUGGCAGCACUUCGUCAUCAUCCUACUCACUGAAAUAAUCGUUUUUCUGACAAUUAGAAAAGUAUUUUGGUUCUACCCAAUAUUCUCAAUCUAUACCUAAUUCUUCAUUUUAUUUUCUAACUUAGAUUUACUAGCUAAGUGCACGUGAAAUACACGUUACAUAAAAUAUUAAAAAUAUAAUAUAUACUGGUUAAAAUUUUUGAAAAACUAAACGCAUAACUUUUAAUUUUUUAAGGAAAGUCUUCAAAAACGCCCCCUAUGGUUUCUCACUUUGGCCCCCUGUGGUUUAAAAUGUAUCAAAUUCCCCCCAUGUGGUUUCGUUUUUAUCUUUUCAGUAGCUUUUUCGUUAAUAUUUCAUUAAAUUAUAUACAAAAAAAACUUCAGAUACCCAUCUAGAUUUAUCAAAUAUUCAUUUUAGUACCCUUUAAUUUUAAUUUUAUCACUGAUUUAAGAAAAAAAAAUAAUAAAAUUGAUAAGAAAAAGAGAAAAAAGAAACCACCGGGGGGCAAAUUGAUACAUUUUAAACCACAGGGGGGCAAAGUGAGAAACUAUG